CCUACGGGGGGCUGCAGUGGGGAAUAUUGGACAAUGGGGGGAACCCUGAUCCAGCCAUGCCGCGUGUGUGAAGAAGGCCCUCGGGUUGUAAAGCACUUUCAGUGAGGAAGAACGCCUGGUGGUUAAUACCCAUCAGGAAAGACAUCACUCACAGAAGAAGCACCGGCUAACUCCGUGCCAGCAGCCGCGGUAAUACGGAGGGUGCGAGCGUUAAUCGGAAUUACUGGGCGUAAAGCGCGCGUAGGUGGCUUGAUAAGCCGGUUGUGAAAGCCCCGGGCUCAACCUGGGAACGGCAUCCGGAACUGUCAAGCUAGAGUGCAGGAGAGGAAGGUAGAAUUCCCGGUGUAGCGGUGAAAUGCGUAGAGAUCGGGAGGAAUACCAGUGGCGAAGGCGGCCUUCUGGACUGACACUGACACUGAGGUGCGAAAGCGUGGGUAGCAAACAGGAUUAGAUACCCGAGUGUC
This 464-nucleotide ribosomal RNA is filed under the name Vreelandella stevensii. RNAcentral describes it as "partial 16S ribosomal RNA". It matches the Rfam family "Bacterial small subunit ribosomal RNA", at positions 338 to 795 of the family's 1533-position model. Lineage: Bacteria; Pseudomonadati; Pseudomonadota; Gammaproteobacteria; Oceanospirillales; Halomonadaceae. The record is from RNAcentral.